UACGUAGGGGGCUAGCGUUGUCCGGAAUCAUUGGGCGUAAAGCGCGUGUAGGCGGUCCGGUAAGUCCGCUGUGAAAGUCGGGGGCUCAACCCUCGGAUGCCGGUGGAUACUGUCGGGCUUGAGUACGGAAGAGGCGAGUGGAAUUCCUGGUGUAGCGGUGAAAUGCGCAGAUAUCAGGAGGAACACCAAUUGCGAAGGCAGCUCGCUGGGACGUUACUGACGCUGAGACGCGAAGGCGUGGGGAGCGAACAGG
This 253-nucleotide ribosomal RNA is filed under the name uncultured bacterium. Its description in RNAcentral is "partial 16S ribosomal RNA". It matches the Rfam family "Bacterial small subunit ribosomal RNA", at positions 524 to 776 of the family's 1533-position model. The record is from RNAcentral.